ACUUAAAUUGAAGAGUUUGAUCAUGGCUCAGAUUGAACGCUGGCGGCAGGCCUAACACAUGCAAGUCGAACGGUAGCACAGAGAGCUUGCUCUCGGGUGACGAGUGGCGGACGGGUGAGUAAUGUCUGGGAAACUGCCCGAUGGAGGGGGAUAACUACUGGAAACGGUGGCUAAUACCGCAUAACGUCGCAAGACCAAAGAGGGGGACCUUCGGGCCUCUUGCCAUCAGAUGUGCCCAGAUGGGAUUAGCUUGUUGGUGAGGUAACGGCUCACCAAGGCGACGAUCCCUAGCUGGUCUGAGAGGAUGACCAGCCACACUGGAACUGAGACACGGUCCAGACUCCUACGGGAGGCAGCAGUGGGGAAUAUUGCACAAUGGGCGCAAGCCUGAUGCAGCCAUGCCGCGUGUAUGAAGAAGGCCUUCGGGUUGUAAAGUACUUUCAGCGAGGAGGAAGGCGUUGUGGUUAAUAACCACAGCGAUUGACGUUACUCGCAGAAGAAGCACCGGCUAACUCCGUGCCAGCAGCCGCGGUAAUACGGAGGGUGCAAGCGUUAAUCGGAAUUACUGGGCGUAAAGCGCACGCAGGCGGUUUGUUAAGUCAGAUGUGAAAUCCCCGGGCUCAACCUGGGAACUGCAUUUGAAACUGGCAAGCUUGAGUCUCGUAGAGGGGGGUAGAAUUCC
RNAcentral lists this ribosomal RNA (682 nucleotides) under Salmonella enterica subsp. enterica serovar Kentucky. RNAcentral's name for it is "bacterial SSU rRNA". It matches the Rfam family "Bacterial small subunit ribosomal RNA", at positions 1 to 670 of the family's 1533-position model. Lineage: Bacteria; Pseudomonadati; Pseudomonadota; Gammaproteobacteria; Enterobacterales; Enterobacteriaceae. The record is from RNAcentral.